This 464-nucleotide ribosomal RNA is filed under the name uncultured Klebsiella sp. Its description in RNAcentral is "bacterial SSU rRNA". It matches the Rfam family "Bacterial small subunit ribosomal RNA", at positions 338 to 795 of the family's 1533-position model. Lineage: Bacteria; Pseudomonadati; Pseudomonadota; Gammaproteobacteria; Enterobacterales; Enterobacteriaceae. The record is from RNAcentral.
CCUACGGGGGGCUGCAGUGGGGAAUAUUGCACAAUGGGCGCAAGCCUGAUGCAGCCAUGCCGCGUGUGUGAAGAAGGCCUUCGGGUUGUAAAGCACUUUCAGCGGGGAGGAAGGCGUUAAGGUUAAUAACCUUGUCGAUUGACGUUACCCGCGGAAGAAGCACCGGCUAACUCCGUGCCAGCAGCCGCGGUAAUACGGAGGGUGCAAGCGUUAAUCGGAAUUACUGGGCGUAAAGCGCACGCAGGCGGUCUGUCAAGUCGGAUGUGAAAUCCCCGGGCUCAACCUGGGAACUGCAUUCGAAACUGGCAGGCUAGAGUCUUGUAGAGGGGGGUAGAAUUCCAGGUGUAGCGGUGAAAUGCGUAGAGAUCUGGAGGAAUACCGGUGGCGAAGGCGGCCCCCUGGACAAAGACUGACGCUCAGGUGCGAAAGCGUGGGGAGCAAACAGGAUUAGUACCCCUGUAGUC